UACGUAGGGUGCGAGCGUUAAUCGGAAUUACUGGGCGUAAAGCGUGCGCAGGCGGUUUUGUAAGCCAGAUGUGAAAUCCCCGGGCUUAACCUGGGAAUGGCAUUUGGGACUGCAAGGCUGGAGUUUGGCAGAGGAGGCUGGAAUUCCUGGUGUAGCAGUGAAAUGCGUAGAUAUCUGGAGGAACACCGGUGGCGAAGGCGGCAUUCUGGACCGAAACUGACGCUGAGGCGCGAAAGCCAGGGGAGCAAACGGG
This 253-nucleotide ribosomal RNA is filed under the name uncultured bacterium. RNAcentral describes it as "partial 16S ribosomal RNA". It matches the Rfam family "Bacterial small subunit ribosomal RNA", at positions 524 to 776 of the family's 1533-position model. The record is from RNAcentral.